UGAAACUAAACAACCACCGGCUAAAGCCGGUGGUUGUUUAGUUUGGUCUCAUUAUUGAAAAAUCAAAUUUGCCGUCCCGGCA
RNAcentral lists this small RNA (82 nucleotides) under Nitrosomonas europaea ATCC 19718. RNAcentral's name for it is "Proteobacteria sRNA psRNA14". It matches the Rfam family "Proteobacteria sRNA psRNA14". The record is from Rfam by way of RNAcentral. Lineage: Bacteria; Pseudomonadati; Pseudomonadota; Betaproteobacteria; Nitrosomonadales; Nitrosomonadaceae.